Molecule: ribosomal RNA, 416 nt
Filed under: uncultured Comamonadaceae bacterium
Lineage: Bacteria; Pseudomonadati; Pseudomonadota; Betaproteobacteria; Burkholderiales; Comamonadaceae
Description: bacterial SSU rRNA
Rfam family: Bacterial small subunit ribosomal RNA
Source: RNAcentral
UGGGGAAUUUUGGACAAUGGACGCAAGUCUGAUCCAGCCAUUCCGCGUGCAGGAUGAAGGCCCUCUGGUUGUAAACUGCUUUUGUACGGAACGAAAAGGCGCUUUCUAAUACAGAGCGCUCAUGACGGUACCGUAAGAAUAAGCACCGGCUAACUACGUGCCAGCAGCCGCGGUAAUACGUAGGGUGCAAGCGUUAAUCGGAAUUACUGGGCGUAAAGCGUGCGCAGGCGGUUAUGUAAGACAGGUGUGAAAUCCCAGGGCUUAACCUUGGAACUGCAUUUGUGACUGCAUAGCUAGAGUACGGUAGAGGGGGAUGGAAUUCCGCGUGUAGCAGUGAAAUGCGUUAGAUAUGCGGAGGAACACCGAUGGCGAAGGCAAUCCCCUGGACCUGUACUGACGCUCAUGCACGAAAGCGU